UGGGGAAUCUUAGACAAUGGGGGCAACCCUGAUCUAGCCAUGCCGCGUGAGUGAUGAAGGCCUUAGGGUUGUAAAGCUCUUUCAGCUGGGAAGAUAAUGACGGUACCAGCAGAAGAAGCCCCGGCUAACUCCGUGCCAGCAGCCGCGGUAAUACGGAGGGGGCUAGCGUUGUUCGGAAUUACUGGGCGUAAAGCGCACGUAGGCGGACCAGAAAGUUGGGGGUGAAAUCCCGGGGCUCAACCUCGGAACUGCCUUCAAAACUAUUGGUCUUGAGUUCGAGAGAGGUGAGUGGAAUUCCGAGUGUAGAGGUGAAAAUUCGUAGAUAUUCGGAGGAACACCAGUGGCGAAGGCGGCUCACUGGCUCGAUACUGACGCUGAGGUGCGAAAAGCGUGGGGAGCAAAACAGGAUUAGAUACCCUGGUAGUCCACGCCGUAAAACGAUGAAUGCCAGUCGUCGGGUUGCAUGCAAUUCGGUGACACACCUAACGGAUUAAGCAUUCCGCCUGGGGAGUACGGUCGCAAGAU
RNAcentral lists this ribosomal RNA (525 nucleotides) under uncultured bacterium. Its description in RNAcentral is "partial 16S ribosomal RNA". It matches the Rfam family "Bacterial small subunit ribosomal RNA", at positions 355 to 894 of the family's 1533-position model. The record is from RNAcentral.